Molecule: non-coding RNA, 149 nt
Filed under: Nomascus leucogenys (northern white-cheeked gibbon)
Lineage: Eukaryota; Metazoa; Chordata; Mammalia; Primates; Hylobatidae
Source: Rfam by way of RNAcentral
GCCGGGCAUGGUGGCGCCCGCCUGUAGUUCCAACUACUCAGGAGGCUGAGGCAGAAGAAUCGCUUGAACCCAGGGGGGUGGAGGUUGCAGUGAGCCGAGAUAGCCCCACUGCACUCCAGCCUGGGUGACAGAGCGAUACUCUGUCUCAA